This 863-nucleotide ribosomal RNA is filed under the name uncultured Bradyrhizobiaceae bacterium. RNAcentral's name for it is "bacterial SSU rRNA". It matches the Rfam family "Bacterial small subunit ribosomal RNA", at positions 8 to 916 of the family's 1533-position model. The record is from RNAcentral. Lineage: Bacteria; Pseudomonadati; Pseudomonadota; Alphaproteobacteria; Hyphomicrobiales; Nitrobacteraceae.
AGAGUUUGAUCCUGGCUCAGAGCGAACGCUGGCGGCAGGCUUAACACAUGCAAGUCGAGCGGGCGUAGCAAUACGUCAGCGGCAGACGGGUGAGUAACGCGUGGGAACAUACCUUUUGGUUCGGAACAACACAGGGAAACUUGUGCUAAUACCGGAUAAGCCCUUACGGGGAAAGAUUUAUCGCCGAAAGAUUGGCCCGCGUCUGAUUAGCUAGUUGGUGAGGUAACGGCUCACCAAGGCGACGAUCAGUAGCUGGUCUGAGAGGAUGAUCAGCCACAUUGGGACUGAGACACGGCCCAAACUCCUACGGGAGGCAGCAGUGGGGAAUAUUGGACAAUGGGCGCAAGCCUGAUCCAGCCAUGCCGCGUGAGUGAUGAAGGCCCUAGGGUUGUAAAGCUCUUUUGUGCGGGAAGAUAAUGACGGUACCGCAAGAAUAAGCCCCGGCUAACUUCGUGCCAGCAGCCGCGGUAAUACGAAGGGGGCUAGCGUUGCUCGGAAUCACUGGGCGUAAAGGGUGCGUAGGCGGGUCUUUAAGUCAGGGGUGAAAUCCUGGAGCUCAACUCCAGAACUGCCUUUGAUACUGAGGAUCUUGAGUUCGGGAGAGGUGAGUGGGACUGCGAGUGUAGAGGUGAAAUUCGUAGAUAUUCGCAAGAACACCAGUGGCGAAGGCGGCUCACUGGCCCGAUACUGACGCUGAGGCACGAAAGCGUGGGGAGCAAACAGGAUUAGAUACCCUGGUAGUCCACGCUGUAAACGAUGAAUGCCAGCCGUUAGUGGGUUUACUCACUAGUGGCGCAGCUAACGCUUUAAGCAUUCCGCCUGGGGAGUACGGUCGCAAGAUUAAAACUCAAAGGAAUUGACGG